Molecule: ribosomal RNA, 557 nt
Filed under: Lactobacillus iners
Lineage: Bacteria; Bacillati; Bacillota; Bacilli; Lactobacillales; Lactobacillaceae
Description: bacterial SSU rRNA
Rfam family: Bacterial small subunit ribosomal RNA
Source: RNAcentral
UGGAGAGUUUGAUCCUGGCUCAGGACGAACGCUGGCGGCGUGCCUAAUACAUGCAAGUCGAGCGAGUCUGCCUUGAAGAUCGGAGUGCUUGCACUCUGUGAAACAAGAUACAGGCUAGCGGCGGACGGGUGAGUAACACGUGGGUAACCUGCCCAAGAGAUCGGGAUAACACCUGGAAACAGAUGCUAAUACCGGAUAACAACAGAUGAUGCCUAUCAACUGUUUAAAAGAUGGUUCUGCUAUCACUCUUGGAUGGACCUGCGGUGCAUUAGCUAGUUGGUAGGGUAACGGCCUACCAAGGCGAUGAUGCAUAGCCGAGUUGAGAGACUGAUCGGCCACAUUGGGACUGAGACACGGCCCAAACUCCUACGGGAGGCAGCAGUAGGGAAUCUUCCACAAUGGACGCAAGUCUGAUGGAGCAACGCCGCGUGAGUGAAGAAGGGUUUCGGCUCGUAAAGCUCUGUUGUUGGUGAAGAAGGACAGGGGUAGUAACUGACCUUUGUUUGACGGUAAUCAAUUAGAAAGUCACGGCUAACUACGUGCCAGCAGCCGCGGUA